CCUACGGGAGGCAGCAGUAGGGAAUCUUCCACAAUGGACGAAAGUCUGAUGGAGCAAUGCCGCGUGAGUGAAGAAGGUUUUCGGCUCGUAAAACUCUGUUGUUAAAGAAGAACACCUUUGAGAGUAACUGUUCAAGGGUUGACGGUAUUUAACCAGAAAGCCACGGCUAACUACGUGCCAGCAGCCGCGGUAAU
RNAcentral lists this ribosomal RNA (194 nucleotides) under uncultured Lactobacillus sp. Its description in RNAcentral is "partial 16S ribosomal RNA". It matches the Rfam family "Bacterial small subunit ribosomal RNA", at positions 338 to 524 of the family's 1533-position model. The record is from RNAcentral. Lineage: Bacteria; Bacillati; Bacillota; Bacilli; Lactobacillales; Lactobacillaceae.